RNA transcript from Populus nigra (black poplar), 3286 nucleotides. It is a transcript of the gene named protein CDC73 homolog, with no coding region annotated. NCBI's taxonomy places the organism in Eukaryota, Viridiplantae, Streptophyta, Magnoliopsida, Malpighiales, Salicaceae. The record is from RefSeq and is a predicted model, not a curated record. The transcript is spliced from 6 exons.
AAAAAAAAAACCACCACAACUCACAACUCCAAGCGAAACACCCUGUAGCAGUCCUCCACCCCUGCGUCACCACCCCACCGUUUUAUCCGUGUACAGUUCGUACACAAUACUCACAAAACCCCUCAUCCUGAAGAGUUCGCUGUGAAAAUUGAAGAAAAUCCCACUCUUUCUUUCUAAACACUGAAAAACCUCCCAGCUCACCAAUGGAUCCGCUCUCAGCACUCCGCGACUUCACCAUCCGGGGUGACCUAGACAAAAUCAUCCGCAUCAACGACGAGUUCCGCUUCGGCAACGAAUACACCUUCCCUUGCUCAACUAAAACCGCUUACCGCUCCAAACAAGGCAAUCUCUACACACUAGAAACCCUAGUUUACUGCAUCCAAAACACCAAAAUCAAGUUCACCAAUUACCUCCAAGACGCCCUCGCUCUCGGCAUCCCCCCUGUCACUUACAUCGACUGGAAACCCGUCAAAGAAUACCUCUCCGGAAAACUCUCUUCUACCGACUCCAUAGUUUUCCCUCUCCCUCAAGAAUCUCAAAACCCUAAUCUUAAUUACCGCCCCGAUGAUCCUAUGCUUCUUGAUUCUCGAAUCGAUGAUUCCGCCGCCGCCGAUAAGGUGAACAAUGGGAAUGAGGGAGUUGAAAAUCACGUUUCUUUGAUUUACGCCAACGAGAGGCCGUUGAAGGAUAGGGAGUCGUUGUUGGAGUGUAAGAAUAGGGAUUUUUAUGGGGUUUUGGUUGCUUCCACGCGCCGUGAAGAGGAGAGGCAUAAAUUUGAGAGUCAACAGAGGAAAGAUGGGUUAGUGGCGAAGAGUAGGUUGAUGGGAGCUGAUGAGAGAGGAAUUGGGUAUGGUGGUGAUGAGUUGGGCUAUGAUUCAGCGGCCAAGCCCAAAAUGCAUUUGAAAGGAGGGAAAAUUGGGGAGGGGGUGCCCAUAAUUUUGGUGCCAAGUGCGUUUCAGACUUUGAUUACGAUUUAUAAUGUGAAGGAAUUUUUGGAAGAUGGGAUUUUCAUACCGACGGAUGUGAAGGCUAAGCAGAUGAAAGGGCCGAAACCGGAAUGUGUUACAGUGCAGAAGAAGUUUAGCACUGAUAGGAAUAGAGUGAUGACGGCUUAUGAGGUGCGGGAUAAGCCGUCUGCACUCAAGGGUGAUGACUGGGAUAGGGUUGUGGCAGUUUUUGUGCUGGGGAAGGAGUGGCAAUUCAAGGAUUGGCCCUUUAAGGAUCAUGUUGAGAUAUUUAAUAAAAUUAUUGGAUUUUUCAUGCGGUUUGAAGAUGAUAGUGUGGAGUCUGCUAAGAUUGUGAAGCAGUGGAAUGUAAAGAUUAUCUCGAUCAGCAAGAACAAGAGGCACCAGGAUAGGGCUGCAGCGUUGGAGGUGUGGGACCGACUAGAAGAAUUUGUGCGCUCACAAUCACACACUUGAAGUGUGCAGACUUUUAGAAGUGUGUCAAUGGAAACGAUUUCAUAACCAGCUACAAGCCAUUCAAAGUGCAGAGGCAUCGUGGAAGGAUGGAAUGCGUGCCAUGUCUGAAUAUGUGGAUGUCAUGGUCUCCUGUUGGUUUCAUUUUGUGCAAGUUAACUUUCAGUGGUUGUUUGCAGCUGCGAGCUGGAGACUUUGGUUUUUGGAUGAGUGGAUCUGAUAAUUUGUUAGACAGAAUUUACAACAGAAGGUUGAACCAUAUGAAGCGGCAAAGAGAAGGAAGAACAGUAAAGAGAUUGAGAAAUCCAAGGAGCUUCCACCUGAUGUUCCAUCUGUUUGUGUUGAUGGUACGGUUUUGGAUGCCGUUCCUACACCAGUGAAUGUCACCUUGAGCAGGUGAGGCAGCUGGAGAGGCACCUGUCCAAUACAAUGUUAUGAGUUGGCAUCAGAUCAGAAUGAAAAUUUUGAAAAUGUGCAGUGAUAUUUUCCUUCAUGUGAGAUUUCUUCUUUAUUUUAAUUCAUUCUCAUCCCUGACUGUCGUUCAGGGAGAUCUAGCAUCCAUUCUUUCAGAUUUUGGCUGAGUUUUGACAGGGAAACUCAAAGGAUAUAUAUAUUUUUUUAGCUACGAAGGAGAGUUUCAAACUUGAAACCUCUUGGGGGAGGAGGGGCGCUUUUGCCAAUUGAGCUGUAGCUCAUUGGCAAUUCAAAGAAAGUUGAGGUUGCAAAGAGAGAAGUAAAAUAAGUUCCAAGUUCCUUACCAUUGCAGCUGCUGAUAGGUGGAGUUUGCACAUUGCAAGCACCAGGUAAGGCUAUAGCCUGAGUUUUGUUGACAUUGAUCCCUAGUGAUGAGCCACCGCCAUUAAGAACCUGGCACAAGCACUGGGGUGAUGAGCGAACAACACUAGCUAGCUGAGUGCAGCAUUGUGAGGAUGGAGUUGAGGAGUUCCCUGUAAUGUAAUUAAGGCACGGUGACAUGCUGAUUAAAACAUUUGUACAAUCUGAUUGAGCCAUGGCUCCCGCCCAAAGCAUGGUCACCAGGACCAUGGCCAAACCCAUUGCCAUCGCUGUGUGGGCCAUUGAAUCUCUUCACUUAGGUAUUGGAAAUGCUCGUGGAAUGUGAAGAUCUCUUGUAACUAUUGAGUUUGAUUAGCUUGAUGGAACGGGGAGAAAAGGGUAUGGCAUUUAUAGGGAUCUGAUGCAAGAACAGGUAAAUUAGAAGAUCCGUUAUGUGGGUGACCAACUCUCCCUAAUUUCCAACGGUGGGCGUUUUAGUCAACUAGGCCAGCUUGGACCUCAAGCUGUUCCUACUCGGAGACCCUGGAAAUUUGCUGCGCGGCUUACAUGUGGAGUUCUGAAGGUCGGCUCUAUGGGUGAACAACUUCUACUGUCUGACGUGUCUUCUGGUACCAAGCAGCUUAGAUGCAUAAGCUGUUCAAAGCAGCAGACUUUUUUGUUCUUACAGACAUGCCCCAAGCAGAAAGCGUAACGUGUUUCUGACUCCACCUUUACAGGAAUUUGGCUCUGCACCUUUUCCUUUUUAGAAUAAAAGAGACGUGAUUUGAAAGCAGAAAAUUCUCGAGGAAGAUCACAGAAAUUGAUUGCCCUCUCUCAUGCUGGCAACUGUUGUUAAGACUCGUCUGCCUUCAAACCUAAGAAAAAGUGAGAGUUGUAUUCUUUCACUGUGAACGAGGAUCCAACCCUGUCUAGGAAAAAGUAUGGUGGCAUCUAUGCUUCUUCCUUGUGACCAAUGAAUUUUUAUAGCUCGAUACUAUUCUUACAAUGUGAGGUUUGGCGCUCUUGUGGAUCGCUUGGCUAUAUGAAAAAAUGUUAAACAUUGCUACUUAUUUAGAAGAUAGAAUUUGGGACAA